This 497-nucleotide ribosomal RNA is filed under the name uncultured bacterium. Its description in RNAcentral is "partial 16S ribosomal RNA". It matches the Rfam family "Bacterial small subunit ribosomal RNA", at positions 28 to 507 of the family's 1533-position model. The record is from RNAcentral.
GAUGAACGCUGGCGGCGUGCCUAAUACAUGCAAGUCGAGCGAACAGACGAGGAGCUUGCUCCUCUUACGUUAGCGUCGGACGGGUGAGUAACACGUGGAUAACCUACCUAUAAGACUGGGAUAACUUCGUGAAACCGGAGCUAAUACCGGAUUAUAUAUUGAACCGCAUGGUUCAAUAGUUAAAGACGGUUUUGCUGUCACUUAUAGAUGGUUCCGCGCCGCAUUAGCUAGUUGGUAAGGUAACGGCUUACCAAGGCAACGAUGCGUAGCCGACCUGAGAGGGUGAUCGGCCACACUGGAACUGAGACACGGUCCAGACUCCUACGGGAGGCAGCAGUAGGGAAUCUUCCGCAAUGGGCGAAAGCCUGACGGAGCAACGCCGCGUGAGUGAUGAAGGUCUUCGGAUCGUAAAACUCUGUUAUUAGGGAAGAACAAAUGUGUAAGUAACUAUGCACGUCUUGACGGUACCUAAUCAGAAAGCCACGGCUAACUACGUG